UUUGAGGAGAGGUUGGAGGACAUGUGACUGUCACUCCUCCACCGUGUUGUGGGAGUGACAGUCACAUGUCCUCCAACCUCACUUCAGG
This is a non-coding RNA of Xyrichtys novacula (pearly razorfish), 88 nucleotides long. NCBI's taxonomy places the organism in Eukaryota, Metazoa, Chordata, Actinopteri, Labriformes, Labridae. The record is from the annotation of a GenBank genome assembly.